RNAcentral lists this ribosomal RNA (253 nucleotides) under uncultured bacterium. Its description in RNAcentral is "partial 16S ribosomal RNA". It matches the Rfam family "Bacterial small subunit ribosomal RNA", at positions 524 to 776 of the family's 1533-position model. The record is from RNAcentral.
UACGUAGGGGGCUAGCGUUGCUCGGAAUCACUGGGCGUAAAGCGCACGUAGGCGGCUUUUUAAGUCAGGGGUGAAAUCCUGGAGCUCAACUCCAGAACUGCCUUUGAUACUGAGAAGCUUGAGUCCGGGAGAGGUGAGUGGAACUGCGAGUGUAGAGGUGAAAUUCGUAGAUAUUCGCAAGAACACCAGUGGCGAAGGCGGCUCACUGGCCCGGUACUGACGCUGAGGUGCGAAAGCGUGGGGAGCGAACAGG